CCUACGGGUGACAGCAGUGGGGGAUAUUGCACAAUGGGGGAAACCCUGAUGCAGCGACGCCGCGUGAGUGAAGAAGUAUUUCGGUAUGUAAAGCUCCAUCAGCAGGGAAGAAAACGACAGUACCUGACCAAGAAGCCCCGGCUAACUACGUGCCAGCAGCCGCGGCAACACGUAGGGGGCAAGCGUUAUCCGGAUUUACUGGGUGUAAAGGGAGCGUAGACGGUUAUGUAAGUCUGGAGUGAAAGUCCGGGGCCCAACCCCGGGAAUGCUUUGGAAACUGUGUAACUGGAGUGCAGGAGGGGCAGGCGGAAUGCCUGGUGUAGCGGUGAAAGGCGUAGAUAUCAGGAGGAACACCGACGGCGAAGGCGGCCUGCUGGACUGAAACUGACGUUGAGGCUCGAAAGCGUGGGGAGCAAACAGGAUUAGAUACCCCAGUAGUC
Molecule: ribosomal RNA, 440 nt
Filed under: uncultured bacterium
Lineage: Bacteria
Description: partial 16S ribosomal RNA
Rfam family: Bacterial small subunit ribosomal RNA
Source: RNAcentral